UGAGGGCCCCUCUGCGUGUUCACAGCGGACCUUGAUUUAAUGUCUAUACAAUUAAGGCACGCGGUGAAUGCCAAGAGAGGCGCCUCC
MicroRNA precursor from Macaca mulatta (Rhesus monkey), 87 nucleotides. Ensembl annotates it as microRNA 124-3. Its record names the gene MIR124-3. NCBI's taxonomy places the organism in Eukaryota, Metazoa, Chordata, Mammalia, Primates, Cercopithecidae. The record is from Ensembl.